This 302-nucleotide unclassified non-coding RNA is filed under the name uncultured Ascomycota. RNAcentral's name for it is "sequence contains ITS1". The stretch from base 1 to 105 matches the Rfam family "5.8S ribosomal RNA", at positions 50 to 154 of the family's 154-position model. Lineage: Eukaryota; Fungi; Ascomycota. The record is from RNAcentral.
GAAAUGCGAUAAGUAAUGUGAAUUGCAGAAUUCAGUGAACCAUCGAAUCUUUGAACGCACAUUGCGCCCCUUGGUAUUCCGAGGGGCAUGCCUGUUCGAGCGUCAUUACACCAUUCAAGCUCUGCUUGGUAUUGGGCUUCAGUCCGGACCGGACGUGCCUGAAAGCUAUCGGCGGUGUCGUCCUGCUUCAAGCGUAGUAAAAUACCUGUCGCUUUGGAAGUUCGGGCGUUGCUCGCCGGUUGAGAUAACCACAUCCUCUUAAGGUUGACCUCGGAUCAGGUAGGGAUACCCGCUGAACUUAA